This 766-nucleotide ribosomal RNA is filed under the name uncultured Caryophanaceae bacterium. RNAcentral's name for it is "bacterial SSU rRNA". It matches the Rfam family "Bacterial small subunit ribosomal RNA", at positions 28 to 776 of the family's 1533-position model. The record is from RNAcentral. Lineage: Bacteria; Bacillati; Bacillota; Bacilli; Caryophanales; Caryophanaceae.
GAUGAACGCUGGCGGCGUGCCUAAUACAUGCAAGUCGAGCGAACAGACGAGGAGCUUGCUCCUUUGACGAUAGCGGCGGACGGGUGAGUAACACGUGGGUAACCUACCUAUAAGACUGGGAUAACUUCGGGAAACCGGAGCUAAUACCGGAUAAUAUUUCGAACCGCAUGGUUCGAUAGUGAAAGAUGGCUUUGCUAUCACUUAUAGAUGGACCUGCGCCGUAUUAGCUAGUUGGUAAGGUAACGGCUUACCAAGGCAACGAUACGUAGCCGACCUGAGAGGGUGAUCGGCCACACUGGAACUGAGACACGGUCCAGACUCCUACGGGAGGCAGCAGUAGGGAAUCUUCCGCAAUGGGCGAAAGCCUGACGGAGCAACGCCGCGUGAGUGAUGAAGGUCUUCGGAUCGUAAAACUCUGUUAUUAGGGAAGAACAAACGUGUAAGUAACUGUGCACGUCUUGACGGUACCUAAUCAGAAAGCCACGGCUAACUACGUGCCAGCAGCCGCGGUAAUACGUAGGUGGCAAGCGUUAUCCGGAAUUAUUGGGCGUAAAGCGCGCGUAGGCGGUUUUUUAAGUCUGAUGUGAAAGCCCACGGCUCAACCGUGGAGGGUCAUUGGAAACUGGAAAACUUGAGUGCAGAAGAGGAAAGUGGAAUUCCAUGUGUAGCGGUGAAAUGCGCAGAGAUAUGGAGGAACACCAGUGGCGAAGGCGACUUUCUGGUCUGUAACUGACGCUGAUGUGCGAAAGCGUGGGGAUCAAACAGG